RNAcentral lists this non-coding RNA (233 nucleotides) under Anaerobacillus arseniciselenatis. RNAcentral's name for it is "T-box sequence". It matches the Rfam family "T-box leader". Rfam says of the family: Uncharged tRNA acts as the effector for transcription antitermination of genes in the T-box leader family. T-boxes are found upstream of many aminoacyl-tRNA synthetase genes and some amino acid biosynthetic genes usually in Gram-positive bacteria. Lineage: Bacteria; Bacillati; Bacillota; Bacilli; Caryophanales; Bacillaceae. The record is from RNAcentral.
GGAAAUGCAAUGAAAGGAAAUAGUAACAUUGAGACUAUUUACAGAGAGUCGAUGGUAGGUGCAAAUCGAUAUUAGUGCAGUGUGAAUCCAUCCUUGAGUAGAUUAUUGAACGAAGUGCUUGUACUUUUAUUAGGUAAUUCCGGUUCACCACCGUUACUAAGGUGCUAAGAGAAAGAGCAACUAUUGAUGCUCUUUAAUUAGGGUGGCAACGCGGGUAAACUCUCGUCCCUUUA